RNAcentral lists this ribosomal RNA (497 nucleotides) under uncultured bacterium. Its description in RNAcentral is "partial 16S ribosomal RNA". It matches the Rfam family "Bacterial small subunit ribosomal RNA", at positions 28 to 507 of the family's 1533-position model. The record is from RNAcentral.
GAUGAACGCUGGCGGCGUGCCUAAUACAUGCAAGUCGAGCGAACGGACGAGAAGCUUGCUUCUCUGAUGUUAGCGGCGGACGGGUGAGUAACACGUGGAUAACCUACCUAUAAGACUGGGAUAACUUCGGGAAACCGGAGCUAAUACCGGAUAAUAUUUUGAACCGCAUGGUUCAAAAGUGAAAGACGGUCUUGCUGUCACUUAUAGAUGGAUCCGCGCUGCAUUAGCUAGUUGGUAAGGUAACGGCUUACCAAGGCAACGAUGCAUAGCCGACCUGAGAGGGUGAUCGGCCACACUGGAACUGAGACACGGUCCAGACUCCUACGGGAGGCAGCAGUAGGGAAUCUUCCGCAAUGGGCGAAAGCCUGACGGAGCAACGCCGCGUGAGUGAUGAAGGUCUUCGGAUCGUAAAACUCUGUUAUUAGGGAAGAACAUAUGUGGAAGUAACUGUGCACAUCUUGACGGUACCUAAUGAAAAAGCCACGGCUAACUUCGUG